AGGUUAUGAUCUGCCCUCUCUGGGCUGAGGCGCCAAGACCACUUGCCUUUGUUCCCAGCUCCCUGCCUGGGAUGCUGGCAGCCAGACCUCAGCCCCGCCCUGCAUGGCAGGAGCUCAGGGCUGUGUCGCAAUGUGACUAAUGGAUGAGAAGGUUGAGGAGGAAAGCCAUUACUUCACCAAUGUGAAUCAAGGUCAUUAGUCACCUCGGGAAGCACGCGGAGCUGCGACGUUCAGGAGGGAGGCACGCUGCUCCUGAGCCAAGCCACGGUGUGGCCUGGCACUGGUCCCAUGCAGCAGGGAGAAGGGGAGCUUCUGGAAGUGAGGAUGAGCCGGGCUGCCAGGCCUAGGACCCUGGCCAUGUGUGCAUCCGCCCCUCCCGAGAAAAAGAGCCCAAGUUCUGUGUGGGGUCACGAGGGGGGCAAUGGUGCAGUCCCCAGGAGGUGUCGGCAGGAGCUGACUGGCCACCAUCUCUGGCGGCGGUCUCCUGGGGACGGUGACUGGAGGAUCAGCAGCCUCUGACCACUGGUGUCACCUGAGGAAAUCAGGCCAAUCAUGAGCCACCAGAAUGUCCUCUCCCUAGUGUAGCAAGCCACACUCGCUGCCUUUCUGGGAGAGUUCGAAGCAAGCCACCUGGGCAGGUUCUUUCCAAAGUUCCCCGCCUCAGAGGAGGAAGCUCCAUGGGUGGAGGCCAGGCCUGAGGCCAUCCUGCUCUGGGCCAGAGAGUACCUGUGUCUGAGGAGCGAGGACAUACCUCGUCUGGCUGAGCCUUCAUUUCACACCGGCAGCCUGAAUCCCCCAGCAUGGCUUGCUUUCGGGCUCCCCUCCCCUGGGGCCCGACCCUGAAAUGCGCUUGUCCUUUAUCCCUCAGGUCUGUGUCCCUUCCUCAGAGAGGAAAAAGCUAGCCCCUUCCCCAGUCUUCGGGUUCUCCGAGGCCCUUCUUAUUCGCAGAAUGCAUCUGGCCUAUUUAUUUGCUUGCUUGCUUCUGAUGUCUUCUCUUGCUGAAAGGUAAGUUAGGUGGGAAAAGGAAUCAGGCCAGCUUUGGUUCACCCGUUCCAUCCUCCACACCUUUCUUUUUUGAUGUGUUUACUUAUUUGAGAGUUGGAGUCUUUCUCUUCACUGAGGCUGGAGUGCAGUGGCACAAUCAUAGCUCACUGCAGCCUCGAACUUCUGGACUUGAGUGAUCCUCCUGCUUCGGCCUCCUGAGUCACUAAGACUACAGGUGUGCAUCAUCACCAUGCUUGGCUGAUUAAAAAAAUAGUUUUAAUAGAAAAGGUAGUUGUUUUAAUACAAAAGUUACGACACGUGGUAGUGUGAACCUGCAGUGCCAGCCACUGAGGAGGCUGAGGUGGGAGGACCACUGGAGCUCAGGAGAUUGAGUCUGAGUGAGCUGAGAUUGCACCACUGCAUUCCAGCCUGGCAACAGAGUAAGACCCUGUCUCAAAACAAUUUUUUUUUUUUUUUUUUUUGGUAAACGUGGGGUCUCACUAUAUUGCUCAGGCUGAUCUUGAACUCCCGGGCUCAAGAGAUUGUUCCGUCUCAGCCUCCAGUGUCACUGGGAUUACGGGUGUGAGCCACUGAGCCUGGCUCCCCUCAAAACUUUUUGUGGAGCCUGACACCAGGGAAACCCAAUAUCUAUCCUUUGAAUGAAUGAAUGAAUGAAUGAAUGAAUGAAAGGAAGUAAAUGAAGAGGAGGUGGAGGUUAGAAGGGGCACAUUUUAGAUGAGUAGAUACCAUGCAAAGACCCUCCUGGGUGCCAUCACCAGUGCGGGGCAGCCCAUGAGCCCCCAGAGGGAGGUCUCCCUGACACCCUGGCAGCUCAGCCUGGGGCCAAGCAGGAGUCACAUCCAAGGGCUGGGUGAUUAUCUGAUGAAUGAGUGGGUUGUGUGGAUGAGUAAACAGGGACUGACCCAGAGGUCGGGUGUAAUUCAGCCUCUGAAACUGCAUGUGUCAAUAUGAACCGAAGGGCCCAGGAAUGUGUUUUCUGUUGAUGUCAACUUGCUGCAAAGGACCACACCUGCUUCUCGGUCCAGGAACGUGGGAAAGGGAAAGGCAUGGUUUGUUUUGGUGGAGAUGGAGGAGCUGGUAACAGCGGAGGGAUGCCCUUCUUCUGAUUCAGAGCGGGGAGGUGCUCUGGGCCCCUGCCACUGCCUGAUUGGGUAAGUCAGCCCAUGGCCCCCAGCCCUUCCCUGCCAGACGCCCUGGCAGACGGCUUGUUCUGACAAGUACGUGCUUUCUGGAUGGAACAGCCUCCCUUUUGUCCAAACCCUUCCUUUGAAUUUAAAACAUUCCUCUGCCUUUGAAGAGGAAAGGAAUGCGAUCAGGAAGAGGAGGCUGUAUCUUGUUUGGACACUCAAGCCCUCAGCUCCUGCCCAGAGAGUUUCUGUAAUUUCGCUCCCACACCACGUCAUCCCUUUCAGCGCCCGGCCGGGUGCUGUGGCAUCCAUGGCUUCAUCCUUCUGGGAAGUCGGGGUUGCGUUCCCUUGAAUCUUCUCCCUUUCCUCUCCCCAGCUUUUGGUUGUCCUGACAAGAGGACGUGGCAUUUGAGCAGUGGCUUCUGGUGCCCAGAGUGAAGCCCCACCCAGGCACCCUGACAUGACUUUGGGAACGUUCCUGGCACAGCAAGCAGCACUCUGGAGAAGUGCAGCCUCCAUGCUCCUUGUCGAUUUCAGUUUGAACUCCACAGUUUGUGUGACUCAUCGAGGGGUUUGGUUUGGCUCUCGCUGAUGAGUCUCUCAUCGAUGGCAGGUGACAUGCUUGUCCUCUCCUCCCCUCGAGUCCUCUCUCUUGCCCCAGGGCUUCUGGUGGCGAGGUUUGACCUCCUCUUCAUAAGCAGCGUGAGGGCUACUGUGCUGCCCGCUGGCCCACGCUCCAGUAUUGUCUUUGAGGUGGGUACGCUCAUUCCCUUGUAAUGUGCUCCAAAGCGUAAGCCCAGGGGAGCCAUGAGACAGGGAACCCAUGUCUGUUUCUCCAUUUGGUGUAGAAUGCUGGUGGGCGUUUGCCAGACAGGGCCUAUCAUGCGGGCCCUACACCUGUUCACACACCUGCCAUUUUCUUUCAGAAUCCUGUUCCCAGUGAGAAAUGGGUUUAAAAGCCCAGAGCUGUGUUCUAUCCACAUUGGAUCUGACCUACAUUCCAAUGCUCCUUAGCUCCCGGGUUUCGCCAGGUUAGCCAGGCUGGUCUCAAACUCCUGACCUCAGGUGAACCAUCCACAUUGACCUCUCAGAGUGCUUGGAUUACAGGUGUGAGCUACCUCGCCAGGCCAGAAA
Molecule: non-coding RNA, 3266 nt
Organism: Saimiri boliviensis boliviensis (Bolivian squirrel monkey)
Lineage: Eukaryota; Metazoa; Chordata; Mammalia; Primates; Cebidae
Source: RefSeq, a predicted model, not a curated record